This 1145-nucleotide ribosomal RNA is filed under the name Escherichia coli. RNAcentral's name for it is "partial 23S ribosomal RNA". It matches the Rfam family "Bacterial large subunit ribosomal RNA", at positions 419 to 1569 of the family's 2925-position model. The record is from RNAcentral. Lineage: Bacteria; Pseudomonadati; Pseudomonadota; Gammaproteobacteria; Enterobacterales; Enterobacteriaceae.
GGGACACGUGGUAUCCUGUCUGAAUAUGGGGGGACCAUCCUCCAAGGCUAAAUACUCCUGACUGACCGAUAGUGAACCAGUACCGUGAGGGAAAGGCGAAAAGAACCCCGGCGAGGGGAGUGAAAAAGAACCUGAAACCGUGUACGUACAAGCAGUGGGAGCCUCUUAAUGGGGUGACUGCGUACCUUUUGUAUAAUGGGUCAGCGACUUAUAUUCUGUAGCAAGGUUAACCGAAUAGGGGAGCCGAAGGGAAACCGAGUCUUAACUGGGCGUUAAGUUGCAGGGUAUAGACCCGAAACCCGGUGAUCUAGCCAUGGGCAGGUUGAAGGUUGGGUAACACUAACUGGAGGACCGAACCGACUAAUGUUGAAAAAUUAGCGGAUGACUUGUGGCUGGGGGUGAAAGGCCAAUCAAACCGGGAGAUAGCUGGUUCUCCCCGAAAGCUAUUUAGGUAGCGCCUCGUGAAUUCAUCUCCGGGGGUAGAGCACUGUUUCGGCAAGGGGGUCAUCCCGACUUACCAACCCGAUGCAAACUGCGAAUACCGGAGAAUGUUAUCACGGGAGACACACGGCGGGUGCUAACGUCCGUCGUGAAGAGGGAAACAACCCAGACCGCCAGCUAAGGUCCCAAAGUCAUGGUUAAGUGGGAAACGAUGUGGGAAGGCCCAGACAGCCAGGAUGUUGGCUUAGAAGCAGCCAUCAUUUAAAGAAAGCGUAAUAGCUCACUGGUCGAGUCGGCCUGCGCGGAAGAUGUAACGGGGCUAAACCAUGCACCGAAGCUGCGGCAGCGACACUAUGUGUUGUUGGGUAGGGGAGCGUUCUGUAAGCCUGUGAAGGUGGCCUGUGAGGGUUGCUGGAGGUAUCAGAAGUGCGAAUGCUGACAUAAGUAACGAUAAAGCGGGUGAAAAGCCCGCUCGCCGGAAGACCAAGGGUUCCUGUCCAACGUUAAUCGGGGCAGGGUGAGUCGACCCCUAAGGCGAGGCCGAAAGGCGUAGUCGAUGGGAAACAGGUUAAUAUUCCUGUACUUGGUGUUACUGCGAAGGGGGGACGGAGAAGGCUAUGUUGGCCGGGCGACGGUUGUCCCGGUUUAAGCGUGUAGGCUGGUUUUCCAGGCAAAUCCGGAAAACCAAGGCUGAGGCGUGAUGA